RNAcentral lists this RNase P RNA (359 nucleotides) under Acidimicrobiaceae bacterium. RNAcentral describes it as "RNase P RNA component class A". It matches the Rfam family "Bacterial RNase P class A". Rfam says of the family: Ribonuclease P (RNase P) is a ubiquitous endoribonuclease, found in archaea, bacteria and eukarya as well as chloroplasts and mitochondria. Its best characterised activity is the generation of mature 5'-ends of tRNAs by cleaving the 5'-leader elements of precursor-tRNAs. Cellular RNase Ps are ribonucleoproteins. Lineage: Bacteria; Bacillati; Actinomycetota; Acidimicrobiia; Acidimicrobiales; Acidimicrobiaceae. The record is from RNAcentral.
UGAGUUGGCUGGGUGACCGCAGUUCGUCUCGCCUUCAGAGAUGAGGCAAAUUGAGGAAGGUCGGGACUCCGCAGGGCAGGGCGCUGGCAGAUAACCAGGCGUCGCGAGACGACGGAAAGUGCAGCAGAGAAUAGACCGCCGAUGGACUAGUUNCGCUAGUCACAGGCAAGGCUGAAACGGUGCGGUAAGAGCGCACCAGCGUGCAAGGUGACUUGCGCGGCUUGUAAACCCCACCCGGAGCAAGGUCAAGCAGGAAUCAGGUGGCCCGCCUUAAGAUUCCGGGUAGACCGCUGAGAUGGAUGGUCACCCACGUGACUUUCGUCACUGGACAGAAUCCCGCCUACAGGCCGACUCACCGC